GAAAGGUUCAGGCAUUAUGCUGGCCUGCCCCUGUUACCUGGUGGAAUCCACUCAGGCAAUACCCUGGUCAGCCCAAGGUUCCAUGGGAAAGAAGUCUGCACACAGGUGCAGAGGACCCCUUUAAAAGAUAGGCCCCUGCACCUUUCUCUCUCUCUCUCUGCCCCUUUACGCUCGCGCUCUCUCUCUCUCCCCCUGUUCCUGCUCUCUGUCCCCUCUCUCUGUUUCCCCGCUCUCUCUCUCUAUGGCGACCGGCCAUGGCGGUCAGCCAUUACCCUGUUCCUCUUCUUAGUCUCCCCAUUCUACCGGGCCUUAUAAUAAACUUAUAAUCUUAUGUCCAUCUCAAUAUUUCUCUUCUUUUUAAACAAAAGAAUAACAUUUGGCGCCCAACGUGGAAAGGCUCUGCCCUUAUACCUUCUGCGACCUGCUGGCGGGCGCAUGUUAGGCUAAGGGUAACCUUACAAUCCACUUCCAUCUCCGCUUUUCCUGGCACUCCCUCCUGCCUGCAACAGCCUGAGAUGCCGGAACUCAACUUGCGGCUUUUCCAACUAAGUAUUUCUGGAACUCACUGAUCUGCCUAUUCGCUACAAUCCGGUCUAAGAGGCGCCAGGGAGUUCCAUACAGCCUGGACUACAAUGAAACAACCAGCUUCCCCAGGACGUGGCAGCACCCCAACCUUCUUGGGUCCCCCAAAGAUGGUCAACGCCCCCCAUGUCAGCAGGAAGCAGUCUUAAGAAUUCGACGCCCUUAUUCCUUAACCUGCCAUGUCUAAACACCCCACCUUUUUUUAAUAAUAAGUAGAGGUGGGAAUGAAAGGUUCAGGCAUUAUGCUGGCCUGCCCCUGUUACCUGGUGGAAUCCACUCAGGCAAUACCCUGGUCAGCCCAAGGUUCCAUGGGAAAGAAGUCUGCACACAGGUGCAGAGGACCCCUUUAAAAGAUAGGCCCCUGCACCUUUCUCUCUCUCUCUCUGCCCCUUUACGCUCGCGCUCUCUCUCUCUCCCCCUGUUCCUGCUCUCUGUCCCCUCUCUCUGUUUCCCCGCUCUCUCUCUCUAUGGCGACCGGCCAUGGCGGUCAGCCAUUACCCUGUUCCUCUUCUUAGUCUACCCAUUCUGCCUUAUAAUAAACUUAUAGUCAAUAUGUCUGUCUCAACAAUAUUUCUCUUUUCUUCUUUUUAAACAAAAGAAUAACAGGUACAAACUAAGUACAUGUGUGUAUGUGUGCAUUAUUGUUACUUUUCCUACCAUACUGGGCUUGAACCUUACGCUUCCUGCAUGCCAGACAAGCGCUCUACCACUGAGAUAUAAC
This 1303-nucleotide long non-coding RNA is filed under the name Cricetulus griseus (Chinese hamster). Its description in RNAcentral is "lncRNA (ENSCGRG00015040081.1)". Lineage: Eukaryota; Metazoa; Chordata; Mammalia; Rodentia; Cricetidae. The record is from RNAcentral.